AUUGAACGCUGGCGGCAGGCUUAACACAUGCAAGUCGAGCGGAAACGAUGAUAGCUUGCUAUCAGGCGUCGAGCGGCGGACGGGUGAGUAAUACUUAGGAAUCUACCUAGUAGUGGGGGAUAGCACGGGGAAACUCGUAUUAAUACCGCAUACGACCUACGGGAGAAAGGGGGCAGUUUACUGCUCUCGCUAUUAGAUGAGCCUAAGUCGGAUUAGCUAGAUGGUGGGGUAAAGGCCUACCAUGGCGACGAUCUGUAGCUGGUCUGAGAGGAUGAUCAGCCACACCGGGACUGAGACACGGCCCGGACUCCUACGGGAGGCAGCAGUGGGGAAUAUUGGACAAUGGGGGAAACCCUGAUCCAGCCAUGCCGCGUGUGUGAAGAAGGCCUUUUGGUUGUAAAGCACUUUAAGCAGUGAAGAAGACUCCGUGGUUAAUACCCACGGACGAUGACAUUAGCUGCAGAAUAAGCACCGGCUAACUCUGUGCCAGCAGCCGCGGUAAUACAGAGGGUGCAAGCGUUAAUCGGAAUUACUGGGCGUAAAGGGAGCGUAGGUGGCUCUAUAAGUCAGAUGUGAAAUCCCCGGGCUUAACCUGGGAACUGCAUCUGAAACUGUAGAGCUAGAGUAUGUGAGAGGAAGGUAGAAUUCCAGGUGUAGCGGUGAAAUGCGUAGAGAUCUGGAGGAAUACCGAUGGCGAAGGCAGCCUUCUGGCAUAAUACUGACACUGAGGCUCGAAAGCGUGGGUAGCAAACAGGAUUAGAUACCCUGGUAGUCCACGCCGUAAACGAUGUCUACUAGUCGUUGGGUCCCUUGAGGACUUAGUGACGCAGCUAACGCAAUAAGUAGACCGCCUGGGGAGUACGGCCGCAAGGUUAAAACUCAAAUGAAUUGACGGGGGCCCGCACAAGCGGUGGAGCAUGUGGUUUAAUUCGAUGCAACGCGAAGAACCUUACCUGGUCUUGACAUAUCUAGAAUCCUGCAGAGAUGCGGGAGUGCCUUCGGGAAUUAGAAUACAGGUGCUGCAUGGCUGUCGUCAGCUCGUGUCGUGAGAUGUUGGGUUAAGUCCCGCAACGAGCGCAACCCUUGUCCUUAGUUACCAGCGGGUUAAGCCGAGAACUCUAAGGAUACUGCCAGUGACAAACUGGAGGAAGGCGGGGACGACGUCAAGUCAUCAUGGCCCUUACGACCAGGGCUACACACGUGCUACAAUGGUAGGUACAGAGGGCAGCUACACAGCGAUGUGAUGCGAAUCUCAAAAAGCCUAUCGUAGUCCAGAUUGGAGUCUGCAACUCGACUCCAUGAAGUAGGAAUCGCUAGUAAUCGCGGAUCAGAAUGCCGCGGUGAAUACGUUCCCGGGCCU
Molecule: ribosomal RNA, 1360 nt
Filed under: uncultured bacterium
Lineage: Bacteria
Description: bacterial SSU rRNA
Rfam family: Bacterial small subunit ribosomal RNA
Source: RNAcentral